AUGCAAUGUCAAGAACCAAGAUCUCUCUUAAGCUCUCAAAGAAGAAUUACAUAAAGCAAUUGUAUUGAAUAAUUGAUAAUCUGUCUGUACAAUAGAAAAAGAGAUGCUUUAUAUAGCCUAAAUUAAGACCCAUGAUCUUUGCCACUUCCCACUACUAUACAUGGACCCAUGAUCUUUGCCACUUCCCACAACUAUGCAUGG
This 201-nucleotide long non-coding RNA is filed under the name Manihot esculenta (cassava). RNAcentral's name for it is "long non-coding RNA (MESC_LNC011692)". Lineage: Eukaryota; Viridiplantae; Streptophyta; Magnoliopsida; Malpighiales; Euphorbiaceae. The record is from RNAcentral.